AUCACUUCUCGAUCUUUUGGCUAAAAUCAAGUGUAGUAUCUGUUCUUAUCAGUUUGACACGUCCUCUAUCUGAGGAUGUAAUAAAAAUAAAAUAAAUAAAAGGAAUCAUGCAAUAUGUGAUCCUCU
This is a small nuclear RNA of Callithrix jacchus (white-tufted-ear marmoset), 126 nucleotides long. Its record names the gene U2. It matches the Rfam family "U2 spliceosomal RNA". From Rfam's summary of the family: U2 is a small nuclear RNA (snRNA) component of the spliceosome (involved in pre-mRNA splicing). NCBI's taxonomy places the organism in Eukaryota, Metazoa, Chordata, Mammalia, Primates, Cebidae. The record is from Ensembl.